Molecule: ribosomal RNA, 410 nt
Filed under: uncultured bacterium
Lineage: Bacteria
Description: bacterial SSU rRNA
Rfam family: Bacterial small subunit ribosomal RNA
Source: RNAcentral
CGGGAAUUGAAUGGGCGAAGCCUGAUCCGCAAUGCCGCGUGUGUGAAGAAGGCCUUCGGGUUGUAAAGCACUUUUGUCCGGAAAGAAAUGGCUCUGGUUAAUACCUGGGGUCGAUGACGGUACCGGAAGAAUAAGGACCGGCUAACUACGUGCCAGCAGCCGCGGUAAUACGUAGGGUCCAAGCGUUAAUCGGAAUUACUGGGCGUAAAGCGUGCGCAGGCGGUUGUGCAAGACCGAUGUGAAAUCCCCGAGCUUAACUUGGGAAUUGCAUUGGUGACUGCACGGCUAGAGUGUGUCAGAGGGGGGUAGAAUUCCACGUGUAGCAGUGAAAUGCGUAGAGAUGUGGAGGAAUACCGAUGGCGAAGGCAGCCCCCUGGGAUAACACUGACGCUCAUGCACGAAAGCGUGGG